GAUGGUUCAACCCCCUCCCCUACUA
RNAcentral lists this transfer RNA (25 nucleotides) under Ceyx melanurus mindanensis. RNAcentral describes it as "partial tRNA-Met". Lineage: Eukaryota; Metazoa; Chordata; Aves; Coraciiformes; Alcedinidae. The record is from RNAcentral. RNAcentral also lists the same sequence under 1 other name.